This is a long non-coding RNA of Numida meleagris (helmeted guineafowl), 5230 nucleotides long. RefSeq lists it as uncharacterized. NCBI's taxonomy places the organism in Eukaryota, Metazoa, Chordata, Aves, Galliformes, Numididae. The transcript has 2 exons. The record is from RefSeq and is a predicted model, not a curated record.
CCCUACAGCUCCUGAAAGGAGAUUGUGGUGAGUGGGGGUCGGCCUCUGCUCCCUGGUAGCAGUGAUGGGACGAGAGGUGAUGGCCUCACCUUGUGCCAGGGAAGGUUCAGGUUGGAUGUUAGGAGCGAUUUCGUCUCCAGAGAGCAUUGAUGCAGUGGCACAGGCUGCCCAGAGGGUGGGGGAGUCCCUGUUCCCGUCCCCAGAGGUGUUCAGGAACCGUGGGGAUGUGGCACCUGGGGACGUGGGUUAGUGGUCAGCAUCGGCAGUGGGUGGUCGAUUGGACUAGGUGACCUUAGAGGCCUUUUCCAAUCUUAACGAUUCUGUGAUUCUGUAUCCUUAAAACUACAUGCGUCCAACCUGCCAGGUUUAUGUUUUGCUGCCCUCUUUUGUUGUGUUUUAAUAUAAAUAUAUAAAGUCUCGUUACAUAUAUACAUUUAUAUAUAUGUGUAUAAGUUAUGUAUUUAUAGGUGUCCUGUGACACAUCCCCCUCUGGCAGUGCAGCCCAGGCUGCUGGUAGGUCAGGCUCUGUGCUGUAAGCACUCAGAAGAGACCAUCAGUGCCAAAGGAGAUCUUCUGCAUCCUCUGAAUCCCAGUGCUGUGCUGGGGCUGGAGGGCCCCUGGAGCCACAGCCACGACAGACCCAUAGGGCAUUUGUCACUGCAGCCCUCCAAGCAGGUGCAGAGUUCAGCAGCAAUUGCAAAGACAGACGUGGGGAAGGAACACGCACAGGAGCGACCUCGGAGGCUGUGAGGAGAGGUCCAAAUUGUCCCAUUUAAAAAUGUGCAACGAGGGUGUUUAUGCCCUGAAAGGCUGUGGUCCACCCUCAGAAGUGUUCACUGGGUGGGUUCUUGCCUACCAAAAAAAGAGGGAGGGUUUUCGUGCCGUGCUGCUGAGGCGGAUGAAAAAAGAAUAGAGCUUUUCCAUCUGCAGAUCUGCUCGCCUUUCCAACACGAAGGUUAAAGGUGGUGAGUGGGACGUGAUAAAGAAAUGUCAUCCGUGUGAGGGGACCACAAGGUGCCGUGUCCUGUGGAUUAUUCCGUUGUCAACAACAUCUGGAGCUGCAUGUUGGUUUUCACACGUCCCUGAUGCGUUGGGCAGUCCUUUUCAUUGUCCCACACGGGAUGGAGAAAAGGAAGGAUAUCGUAAAUGCUCAAUGGAGCUUUAUGAGGGCUCCAAGCACUGUGGGUCACCUGCCCACGAAACGAAUGUGGGAGUUAUGAGAGAGAAGUCAUACAGGUUUGGGGUUUUUCAUUUGCUCCUCUAAUUAAGGAUAGCUAAUUACUGAUUCUCUUAAAAGGCGUCACAGAGUCUCACCUCUUCUCCUCUUUCAGCGAGUCCCUUCACGAUGAGUAAAUCCCAGCUCCUGCUCUGGGUGGCUGUUAGGUGCACACUGUGAUGUCUGCAGCAGGGGCUGUUUGUGGGCUGUGCUGCUGGAAUCUGCCUCUCAGUCGCUGACUGUUCCCGUAAGUGCGUUUCCCACUUAACUGAUAUUUCUACAACUGAGAAAUGCCAGUCACAAAACCGCUAAUUGAAAUACAUCGUACGAGCUACUUGUUGUCUAAUUACAUUUCAAUCCCAGAAGAUUGCUCCUUUCAAGCAGACAGAGGACCAAACCGUGCCUGUUUGCCCCAGAAGUGUUUGUAGCUGGAGUGAAUCACUGAAUAUUGCACUGAUUUACAGAGAGCAGGCAGAACUGACUUCAGCCCCAACAAUCGCAGACAAUUAUAAACAAUAUCUGCCAAUUAAAUCUUUGUUAAAGUUACUUUGCUGUUGGAAUGAAAUCUUCAUGUUAUUUAUUGUGGUUAUGGAGGUACUUUCAUUUUAGCUAUUGAAAGGAUUCGUGAUGUUAAUGCAGAAUAUUGUAUUUGCUUUAAUUAAGAAAAACAACACCUUUUGUCCCAAAAUCUUUUGUAUCACACCCAUGUUCCUAUUUAAUAAUUUUAAAGCUUAUUUUGUAUUUGAUUACAUGCGUAUGCCUACACAGUUAUAAAUAUUUGGCACUUUUCUGUCAUGUGUCUCUCCUAAGGAAGUUCAUAACAUUAUUUGCAAAGUUCUUUCGCACCAGUUGUGAUUGUGGAAGGAGUUCAGGUUGGCUGACCAGCCUGAAUGAGCUGAUUCAGACUGGUUUUCUCGCUUCAACACCUGAAUGGAGCAGUACCGUGAUGCGUGGUUGUAACUGGGCUGGCACGCUCUGCAGCCCUCAAACACUGCAGAGGGACAAGGUGGAUGCCAGGAAGCAUGGCCACGAAGCCCUGAGCCACAUGGUGCUUCGCUGUGCUCCUGUGGUUGCUGCAAACCAGAGUAACUCGCAGGCUCUUGGGGCUGCUGCAGGAUUCUGACGGUAGGAAGACGACAUGAGGGCUUAAGAGUGCUGCUGUGCACCCGUGUCUUCCUGAAACAUAGCUCCGUGGAGUCCCCCUGCAGCCAGAAACUCUGGUGCUGGAGCAGAGAGCCGCAGUGCUGCCUUCACUCCCAGCCGGACAGUUUGUUAUGGUCACCAAGGAGGAGACAGCACGGUUCAUCUCAAAGGGAAGGAGGGAGCUGCUUGCUGUGCUUGCUGCCCUGUGCUCUGCUUUCCCUUCUUGCUGUGUUACCCAGCCCUUGUCCUUCUGGGAGCCUGGGCAGAUAACCUUUCUGCAAUAAUCUGAUAUUCAAACAGAAGGAGUUCACUCCUGAACUGCCCCAAUAUUUGAGAAAGGUUUUACAGUGAAAUAGGUUUUUUCUGUGUCCCAUUAUUGCCCUGGCGGCUGCGCGUGUGCGUGCAUGCCCGGAACACUGAGAAAGGUAAAACCAACAGAAUGAAAAGGUCAUGGUUAUAUAAAAACCCUUUUAAAGCUAAACAGCCCUGGCACACUGAGUUCCCCGUGGACACUCAGCGGUUGAGAACUGAGAGCAUCAGGGCAUUCGGAAGGUCAAAUUCUGCAUCUGCAAAUGCCCAGGAGAAGCCAGGAGCUGUGGUCAGCCCGAGCUGCCCCCAGUCCGUGGAAAAAGCAGAGGACAGAGCCCCACAGAGCUCAGUGUGCAGGAAAAACAUACAGCUUGGGCCGGGAAGAGAUCACUGAGCCUGCCCGAAGCAGAACCAAGGUUGGUCUUGCUCGUGCCAUGCCUCUGACAAAGCCAAAAGCACCGGAUGACCAGAGAGGCUUUGAGAACAGGGACUCCCGAAGGCAGACAAGCUGUCUUUGUGUUUGAGGAGUCCUCUAAUUACUCUCUCUAAUUACUUUUUGAUUCAUACAAAAUCUCAGGAUCUGCAGCAUCCUGCUGCGCAGUCGCCCAUACGAGACGGAGAAGCACGUCUGAACCCUCCACCCUCCUUUCUCAUGAGGGGAGCAGGCAUCCCCAUUCAUCAUCGUGACGGCUUUAUUCAUCUGUUGCGCCCGCUUUGCCCAUCCCUUGCUCCAUCCAGGAGGUUGGAGUGAGGUGGGGGUCAGCCUCUGCUCCCAGGUAACAGCGAUAGGACGAGAGGCGAUGGCUUCACAUUGCACCAGCAGAGUUUCAAGCUGGAUACUGGGAACAAUUUCUUGUCCAAAUAGUGGGGAUGCACUGGCACAGGCUGCCCAGGGAGUGGGGGAGUCCCCAGCCCUGGAGGUGUUCAGGAACCGUGGAGAUGUGGCACCUGGGGACAUGGUUUAGUGGUAAUAUUGGUGGCAGGUGGGUGGUUGGACUAGAUGACCGUAGAGGCCCUUUCCAACCUUAAUGAUUCUGUGAUUCUCCAAUGUUUUGCAGUCAUUUCAUGUUUUUACUGCUCUGCAUAACUCAGUCUCAUUGCAUCCCUGGGUCUUUGCUCUCUCCUCUUUCCUGUUUAUGAACAGGACAGCCUUCAGCCCAGACCCCUCCAGGGACCCACUCACAACCAGCGCCGCUGACUGAAGUGCCGUCACCGCGGGAUGUAGGCGCGCGCUUGGCACUGAAGCGCUUUGCUUUCUUCGUGUGUUUCUAUGACCAAAGCAAAUCCUACUCCAGCUGGUAACUGAGCAGCGCCGACAGCCCGCCCAGACCUGCUUUAAGGCCUGGUAGAAAAAUCAAACUUCGUGUCAGUGUAUGUGCACGGGUGACAAGUAGGUCUCCACCUGCAUGGAACGUCCCUGCCAGUCUGGGUCUGUGACUCAGGCAGCUUCCAGGGAUGCUCCCUCUGCCUGCAUCUGCGCUCCCUGAAGCCUCAGUGAGCAUCGCUGCUCUCAUCGGAGCGCCGGAGCUGAUCUGCAGGGUGAAGUGCUGCGGUGUUCUGCGUGGCAGCAGAGGCUGAACAACCCCUUUCUGACCUCGCAGAGCUUUUACAAGGUUUAAUCCCCUGUUGUUGAAAGCAGGUGUAGAAGGGGGAGCCUUGGUGUGAUUUGGCUCUCAGCGUCGCAACAUUAAUGAAAAGCAAACAACUCAAAUGUCAGACCUCAAGGAAAAAUGUGUUUAAAUAUUUCCUCUGCAGCCCCUGGCACAGCCCGCGGUGACACAGUGAUUGCAGAUGGCUGGGGGUCAGGGUGGAGGGGCUCUGAGCUGUGGGUGUCCCCAUCCCUCGCAGGAGUGGGACCAGGUGGCCUUUAGGGGACCCUUCCAACUUCACCCAUCCCAUGAUUCCUACGGCUCACAGCACGCCUUGCAGGUGCGGGACCACGAGGUGGUGAAAUAAACCCAAGUGUUAAUAGUGGCUGCGAAAAUUUGAUUUUUAUUCUCUGUUCACUGCAUACAAAACACCAUUCUGCAUAGUGGCAACUCAUUUGUCGUACAGUUGACAGUGCACAUCAACAAACAAGUGUCAGAGGUAUACACUCAACGAGGAGGGCAGUGGUGGCCGGGGUGACGCCGGGAUGGAGGAGUGCCUCACAACCACUCACGUACGAGUAAUAGGAAUGGGAUAGGAAGCACUGACCGAGUUAAUGUGAAUGAGGAUGAAGAGACAAAGCAGAAUUCGUGUGUCCAAUACACAACGUCCAGAGCGAUUAAGAAGGGUCACGGAGGCGGCUGAGAAGGAUCUGUAUUUUUUUCCAAACGCUUCCGGUCUUUAAAGUUGCUAAAAUUUAAUGAUAAAUAACAGAACCUCACAAAUAUUUUGGGGCAAAAUGCUCCACAUUUAUUUACAUACGAAAUGUGUUUAAUACAGUCGUAAUGGACAUAGUGUAUAGUAACAUCUGACAGCAGCAAGACUUUGAAGGAACCGAACAGUUACUACCGUAUAUCAUGCAGCUACCUAUAUAUACACGACUUGUUUCCUUUUUUUCUUAAAAAAAAAAAAAAA